Molecule: non-coding RNA, 106 nt
Organism: Bos taurus (domestic cattle)
Lineage: Eukaryota; Metazoa; Chordata; Mammalia; Artiodactyla; Bovidae
Source: Rfam
GUCAGGAUGGCCGAGUGGUCUAAGGCGCCAGACUCAAGGUGUCUACCUUCCCCUAGGGCAUUCUGGUCUCCGAAUGGAGGCGUGGGUUCGAAUCCCACUUCUGACA